This is a non-coding RNA of Marmota flaviventris (yellow-bellied marmot), 355 nucleotides long. Lineage: Eukaryota; Metazoa; Chordata; Mammalia; Rodentia; Sciuridae. The record is from RefSeq and is a predicted model, not a curated record.
UCAGUGACUUUCGAGGAUGUGGCUGUGCUCUUUACUCGGGAUGAGUGGAAAAAGCUGGAUCCUUCCCAGAGAAGCUUGUACCGGGAGGUGAUGCUGGAGAACUAUAGUAACCUGGCCUCACUGGGAGGACUCCCAUUUAUCAAACCAAAGGUGAUCUCCCUGUUGCAGGAGGGAGAAGAUCCCUGGAAGGUAGAGAAAGAAAACCCUGGAGGCACCUCUCUUGCUGAAGCUGCAGGUAUGAAAGAGACAAGGAAGACAAUGAGAUGGGAGGCUGUCUAAGGGCCACACUGCAAGUGCUUUGGUACGGUUCUAAGAGAUUUGAACUGUUCCAUGGAUGACCAGAAAUAUUUGAAGA